This 412-nucleotide long non-coding RNA is filed under the name Androctonus crassicauda. The record is from RNAcentral. Lineage: Eukaryota; Metazoa; Arthropoda; Arachnida; Scorpiones; Buthidae.
GGACUAAUAAAAACGACCGAGGCCUGUGUUACAUGUGUAAUUUUUUUACAUUUUACAAUUGAUCUUACUACUAGGGUUGUCAUGUUUUGUUUGGGAGGUGUCGCCGUGGGUGCGGUGGUUCUUGUGCGGGAUGGUUGUUCAGGAGUUUUUGUUUUUUCCCGUGCGUAUGGAUUUCCAUGGCUUCUGCCGGGGUGGCAUGUUGUUCUUUUCUUGAAGGUUUUGUGGUCUCUGCUUUGUGCCGCUCUGCUGGGAGGUCGUAUUCAGGCGCACUCAUUGCUGGGGCCGUGUUGGUUUUGCCUCUGGACGGGUCCAUUCUAUGUUCGUUUGGCCUCUGGCUGAGUGUUCGAGUUGUUGCUCCUAUAUGGGCUUGGUUUUCGUCCAUGGUGUUGUUUGUGGCUGGCACCUUGUGUGC